UGGUGCCUUCGGGAACUCUGAGACAGGUGCUGCAUGGCUGUCGUCAGCUCGUGUUGUGAAAUGUUGGGUUAAGUCCCGCAACGAGCGCAACCCUUAUCCUUGUUUGCCAGCGAGUAAUGUCGGGAACUCCAGGGAGACUGCCGGUGAUAAACCGGAGGAAGGUGGGGACGACGUCAAGUCAUCAUGGCCCUUACGAGUAGGGCUACACACGUGCUACAAUGGCGCAUACAGAGGGCRGCCAACUUGCGAAAGUGAGCGAAUCCCAAAAAGUGCGUCGUAGUCCGGAUUGGAGUCUGCAACUCGACUCCAUGAAGUCGGAAUCGCUAGUAAUCGUGGAUCAGAAUGCCACGGUGAAUACGUUCCCGGGCCUUGUACACACCGCCCGUCACACCAUGGGAGUGGGCUGCAAAAGAAGUAGGUAGUUUAACCUUCGGGRGGACGCUUACCACUUUGUGGUUCAUGACUGGGGUGAAGUCGUAACAAGGUAGCGCUAGGGGAACCUGGCGCUGGAUCACCUCCUUAWACGAUGAU
RNAcentral lists this ribosomal RNA (531 nucleotides) under Vibrio parahaemolyticus. RNAcentral describes it as "bacterial SSU rRNA". Lineage: Bacteria; Pseudomonadati; Pseudomonadota; Gammaproteobacteria; Vibrionales; Vibrionaceae. The record is from RNAcentral.